This 560-nucleotide unclassified non-coding RNA is filed under the name Hevea brasiliensis (rubber tree). Lineage: Eukaryota; Viridiplantae; Streptophyta; Magnoliopsida; Malpighiales; Euphorbiaceae. The record is from RNAcentral.
GCCUCGACUUCCAUCAAAUGCAUCCAACCACCUCUCACCCUGCAUACCAAAUUGAAAGAUACCCUCAAAGAUGUCUUUUGUUGCCAAGCAUAUCCCAUGAUCCACAGGGUGCCAAUUCAAGUAAUUUUAUNNNNNCAACCGUGGGUAUGGGCAACUCGGAUGAUUAUAAGAAGAUUUCUGUACCACUGGUACACAGAUAUCUAAUUCACAAGAGUUCUUUAUCAUAAAAUGCAAGAAGUUGCUUAACAUGAUUAUGCCAAGCAGCAACAUUUUGCCCAUCAACAGUAGCCCAGUCAACAACUGUAGAUGCUGGUUGCUCCCACCACUCAUCAAGCAAACCUCUCACAUAUUUGCAAUCUUCCAAGCACUUCUGAGCAUUCAAAACAGCUGUUUUAAGUUCAGGUUCAGGCAACCAUUUCUCUGUGACAAUUUUCUCUUGCUCAGAGGCCAAACUCAGACAAUAAUUUGUAGUCCUUUGAUAUUCUUGUUGAGAAAGGUAUGCAUGGUUUAACAAUGCAUGACCACUUUCAACGAGAUCCUGUCGUAUAUGGACAAGAUUG